CUUAGAGUUAGGAAGACCUGAGUUUGAAUCCUGCCUCGGAUAUACUUAUUAUUAGCUGUGCGGCCCUGGACUCAAGCCUCUAUCACUCUGUUCCUCAUCUGUAAAAUGGAGAUAAUAGUUGCAUCAUUACAUGAUGCAUAUGUCUAUAUGUGCUAUCAUUACUAUUAUGUCAGUCCUAUGAGACAUGCUGGCAGCCCAGAGAAGAAAAAUACCCAAAACAGUUGUUGUGUAUAUCACAGUCCUGCCUUCUUUUUUUAUUGUCUUUAGUAAAAAGCAGUGACCCGAUCUCUAAUUCUCAGAACAUGUUAGAGUGAUAUGAACCCCCAAACAAUGAGACAUUCUCAGCAUGGGGUGAAAGGACUAGAGGAUGAGUCACCAGGCAGCAGGCAGGGACAAAGCUAUCGGCGACCUUGAAAUAAAUGCCUGUGGCUUUUUAAAUGCCUGUGUUUGGCUGAACCUGCCUGACUGCACCCAGGUGCUGAGCACCAUCACUGAACUAACAAGGAGAUUUAGAGGAAGUGGAGCCCAGGCUCAGCUAGCCUGCUGUUUGACUGUCAUGCUGGGGAUUAAUAUUGGAGGUCAGGAGAUGGAAUGGCCAGCCCUUGAAGUGAUGAAGGAUGCUCUGAACUCUGCCAGAACUGAUGAGGAUGGGAUCUAGACCCCAAAAAGAAAAAACCCUGGACUUUCCCACAUGGCCAAAUCCCAGGCCUUCUGCUGAGGCUAUAAUCCCAUUAACUGGACUUUCAUUGUGGCUACACCCAAUCUCCCAAUUCUCUGUUACCCUUAACCUAGCCCUCCAUUGUCUUACCUCCCCAUGGCCCCUGAAUACUUCCCACCCUUAAUCCUAUCUAGGCUCCUUUCUCCCUUGGCCAUGUGGUCCAGGUCCCUGGAGUUCUAUUACCUCAUAGACUACUUGGCCACUCCUAAAUCCCUCCCACAGUCUUUCUAUAUAUAAAGUCCAUCUUGUCUCCAUUAAGAUGCUCAGAUUCUUAUAAUCUAGCCAAUAGCUCACUAAUGUUCCUUAAGAGUCUGCCCAACAUGACAAAUGUUCUAAUAAAUCUCGUCUUUGGCUAAAAGAAGGGUUGGGC
This 1088-nucleotide long non-coding RNA is filed under the name Phascolarctos cinereus (koala). RNAcentral's name for it is "lncRNA (ENSPCIG00000032927.1)". The record is from RNAcentral. Lineage: Eukaryota; Metazoa; Chordata; Mammalia; Diprotodontia; Phascolarctidae.